AGCGAUAUUGAGCCGCAUGGAAGUGAAUCAAGUAGGAAAAAAUUCAUAGAUGUUACUGAGUGGAUUGUGAGUAACUACCAUUCGGUUGGUCCAGGUUCCUUCAGUUUUAGCACAAUAUAAAUACACAUAACUCAAAUUGGAGCAGAAGCUGAAAUAGUUAAGUCUAACAUAUGACAAGGACGUAAACAUAAUAAUCCGGGCGUAAUCAUGACCAAAGUGUUAAAGUCAUCUUAGGAAAUUUACAUAUUUAUUGCACCUUUUUCUCAUCAUUAAAACCAUCCACUCGAUAUAAUUCACUAAUUUUAAUUGUUAUUCAGGCACAAUGAUAACUGAGACCAAUACACUUUUUUCAUAUCGAUUGUAAAAUUUUGCUUUUGACAGAUUUGUUGCCGACUUAUUACUUUUUGCUGAUAAUUAAUGUUAACAACUUAAGAAAUCAUAACAGUUCAGAUAAAAGUCGCCCUUUCUUCGGUGCUUAGCAUAUGAUAUGCUUACGAUAUGCCCCGUCCAACCCACUUCAAUUUAAUCGCGCUCUCUGAUUGACGUUCGAUGGCAUACUAAAUGUAAGAGAUUGUUAACAGCUAAUAUAAAACUCAGCACAUUCAACAAGUUUGAAAUUUGAUUCAAGCGGUAAGUCGGCUGUGACACGAACAACCCAUCUGGCAGUAACAACAAGAAAGUAGAGAAAGUAUGAAAAUGGGAAAACAGCUGAUGUACCGAGUUAAUGAAAGAAAUGCAUGCAUUAUGUAUAGUAUAUCUGAAUAGUUACAAUAUGGAGUAUGAUUUCUGCAAUUUUUAAGAUAUCGCCAUUUUUGCUUUCAUUUCAUUAAAUCAAUCAUCAACUCUAGUAUAUCCAAUUCAUCAAAUUUAGCACCCAGAAGAAAACCAGCUGAAACUAUUGAACGGGAGCAGAAUCCAACGCUAUUUGUUGUGAUAAAUGGAAAGUUUUGGUCGCUCGGCCUUAUUGGUCGUAUACAAAAAUUUUAUUACGCUAACGCUAUAAAACAGCGCACAUCGGCAUGAACCCAAGGGCAUUGAACCUGGAACCAAACGAAGCGCAGUUACACCUAAUGCCACUCGACUAAGGCGGCCGCCCUAGUACCAGCUCUUAAAGUGCAUAUACAUAUUAUUCAUUGGAUUUCACCAUCGUACAUCAGUAUUACGAAAAUCGACGCUCUGUGAAAAGUGUUAAUCGCGCGCUCGGGUCAACUUAUGGUGUAAAUAAUCGUCCUAUCGAACGCAUUACUCCGCAAACCAUUAGCAAAAUUGAGAGUAAUUUUACUUUAUUGGAUGAUACUCGACCGAUUAGGCCAGGAGUUUUGCCGAAGACCCGGAAGAAUCGAUUCGGCGUCGAUCUCAACAAUUUGGCCCAUCUUAUGGCACUACUUGAGCGAUUUUAUGCAAAGAUCUUGCUUUGGAAGCGUAUAAAAUAUAGCUAGUCCAAGAUUUGAAGCCAAGCGAUCAUCCAAAGCGUCAUAACUUCAGCCAUUGGGCUCUUUUCCAUUCCAAACAAAACAACCGUUCUGAGCGGCCUAUGGGCUGGAGGAAUCAUUGGCUCAUAUUUUUUCAAAGAUGAGGCUGGCGCUAAUGUAAUAGUGAAUAGCGAUAACUAUAACAACAUUUGAUUCCAGCAAACUUGACAUAUAGCCCGUGAAACAAUGGAUUUAUUGCGUUGUGGAUAAACCAACUUCGGUUGAGGCAUUGGUAGCCAACACUACUAAAGUUAUUCUCGAGAUAAGGACCAAAGUCCUCUAGCGAGUCAUUCAAAAUUGGUGUUUACAGAUGGCCGAAUUGGGGCCCAGUUGCAGCCAACAUUCGAAAGCGAUUAUCUACCCAAAAAAAUAAAG
Anastrepha obliqua is the source of this 1847-nucleotide long non-coding RNA. RefSeq lists it as uncharacterized. The transcript is spliced from 4 exons. The record is from RefSeq and is a predicted model, not a curated record. Lineage: Eukaryota; Metazoa; Arthropoda; Insecta; Diptera; Tephritidae.